CUCCUGGAAACGGGUGGUAAUGCCGGAUGUUCCACAUGAGCGCAUGCGAGUGUGGGAAAGGCUUUUGCGGCAUGGGAUGGGGUCGCGUCCUAUCAGCUUGUUGGUGGGGUAACGGCCUACCAAGGCGUUGACGGGUAGCCGGCCUGAGAGGGCGACCGGCCACAUUGGGACUGAGAUACGGCCCAGACUCCUACGGGAGGCAGCAGUGGGGAAUAUUGCACAAUGGGCGCAAGCCUGAUGCAGCGACGCCGCGUGCGGGAUGACGGCCUUCGGGUUGUAAACCGCUUUUGACUGGGAGCAAGCCGCUUCGGCGGUGAGUGUACCUUUCGAAUAAGCACCGGCUAACUACGUGCCAGCAGCCGCGGUAAUACGUAGGGUGCAAGCGUUAUCCGGAAUUAUUGGGCGUAAAGGGCUCGUAGGCGGUUCGUCGCGUCCGGUGUGAAAGUCCAUCGCUUAACGGUGGAUCCGCGCCGGGUACGGGCGGGCUUGAGUGCGGUAGGGGAGACUGGAAUUCCCGGUGUAACGGUGGAAUGUGUAGAUAUCGGGAA
Molecule: ribosomal RNA, 548 nt
Filed under: uncultured Bifidobacterium sp.
Lineage: Bacteria; Bacillati; Actinomycetota; Actinomycetes; Bifidobacteriales; Bifidobacteriaceae
Description: bacterial SSU rRNA
Rfam family: Bacterial small subunit ribosomal RNA
Source: RNAcentral